This 440-nucleotide ribosomal RNA is filed under the name uncultured bacterium. RNAcentral describes it as "partial 16S ribosomal RNA". It matches the Rfam family "Bacterial small subunit ribosomal RNA", at positions 338 to 795 of the family's 1533-position model. The record is from RNAcentral.
CCUACGGGUGGCAGCAGUGGGGAAUAUUGCACAAUGGGGGAAACCCUGAUGCAGCAAAGCCGCGUGAGUGAAGAAGUCCCUCGGGGUGUAAAGCCCUAUCAGCAGGGAAGCAAAUGCCGGUCCCUGAUUACGAAGCCCCGGCUAACUACGUGCCAGCCGCCGCGGUCAUACGUAGGGGGCAAGGUUUAACCGGAUUUACUGGGGUUAUGGGGAGCGCAGACGGCAAUGCAAGGCCGGAGUGAAAGCCCGGGGCCAAACCCCGGGACUGCUCUUGAAACUGGGCGGCUAGAGUGCGGGAGGGGCAGGCGGAAUGCGUGGUGUAGCGGUGAAAUGCGUAGAUAUGAGGAGGAACACCGGUGGCGAAGGCGGCAUGCUGGACAGCAACUGACGUUGAGGCACGAAAGCGUGGGGAGCAAACAGGAUUAGAUACCCGAGUAGUC